AGAGUUUGAUUAUGGCUCAGGAUGAACGCUAGCGAUAGGCCUAACACAUGCAAGUCGAGGGGCAGCACAUGAAGUAGCAAUACGGAUGGUGGCGACCGGCGCACGGGUGAGUAACGCGUAUGCAACCUGCCUACAACAGGGGAAUAACCCGUUGAAAGACGGACUAAUACCCCAUAACACAGGGAUCCCGCAUGGGAAUAUUUGUUAAAGAUUUAUCGGUUGUAGAUGGGCAUGCGUUCCAUUAGCUUGUUGGUGAGGUAACGGCUCACCAAGGCAACGAUGGAUAGGGGAACUGAGAGGUUUAUCCCCCACACUGGUACUGAGACACGGACCAGACUCCUACGGGAGGCAGCAGUGAGGAAUAUUGGUCAAUGGACGCAAGUCUGAACCAGCCACGUCGCGUGAAGGAAGACGGCCCUACGGGUUGUAAACUUCUUUUGUAAGGGAAUAAAGUGCAGUACGUGUACUGUUUUGCAUGUACCUUACGAAUAAGGAUCGGCUAACUCCGUGCCAGCAGCCGCGGUAAUACGGAGGAUCCGAGCGUUAUCCGGAUUUAUUGGGUUUAAAGGGUGCGCAGGCGGGAGAUUAAGUCGGCGGUGAAAUUUUGCAGCUCAACUGUAAAAGUGCCUUCGAAACUGGUUUCCUUGAGUGUGGAUGAAGUAGGCGGAAUUUGUGGUGUAGCGGUGAAAUGCAUAGAUAUCACGAGGAACUCCGAUUGCGCAGGCAGCUUACUAAACCAUAACUGACGCUCAGGCACGAAGGCGUGGGGAUCAAACAGGAUUAGAUACCCUGGUAGUC
Molecule: ribosomal RNA, 798 nt
Filed under: uncultured Proteiniphilum sp.
Lineage: Bacteria; Pseudomonadati; Bacteroidota; Bacteroidia; Bacteroidales; Dysgonomonadaceae
Description: bacterial SSU rRNA
Rfam family: Bacterial small subunit ribosomal RNA
Source: RNAcentral